This 492-nucleotide ribosomal RNA is filed under the name uncultured bacterium. RNAcentral's name for it is "partial 16S ribosomal RNA". It matches the Rfam family "Bacterial small subunit ribosomal RNA", at positions 29 to 507 of the family's 1533-position model. The record is from RNAcentral.
AGUGAACGCUGGCGAUAGGCCUAACACAUGCAAGUCGAACGGCAGCACAGUAAGAGCUUGCUCUUACGGGUGGCGAGUGGCGGGCGGGUGAGGAAUACAUCGGAAUCUACUUUUUCGUGGGGGAUAACGUAGGGAGACUUACGCUAAUACCGCAUACGACCUACGGGUGAAAGCAGGGGAUCUUCGGACCUUGCGCGAUUGAAUGAGCCGAUGUCGGAUUAGCUAGUUGGCGGGGUAAAGGCCCACCAAGGCGACGAUCCGUAGCUGGUCUGAGAGGAUGAUCAGCCACACUGGAACUGAGACACGGUCCAGACUCCUACGGGAGGCAGCAGUGGGGAAUAUUGGACAAUGGGCGCAAGCCUGAUCCAGCCAUACCGCGUGGGUGAAGAAGGCCUUCGGGUUGUAAAGCCCUUUUGUUGGGAAAGAAAAGCAGCAGGUUAAUACCCCGCUGUUCUGACGGUACCCAAAGAAUAAGCACCGGCUAACUUCGUG